RNAcentral lists this ribosomal RNA (645 nucleotides) under Salmonella enterica. RNAcentral describes it as "bacterial LSU rRNA". It matches the Rfam family "Bacterial large subunit ribosomal RNA", at positions 566 to 1184 of the family's 2925-position model. Lineage: Bacteria; Pseudomonadati; Pseudomonadota; Gammaproteobacteria; Enterobacterales; Enterobacteriaceae. The record is from RNAcentral.
GCGUCGUUUGCGACGCCCAACACACAAAACAAGCGGUGAGUGCUUUGGGGUGGGGUGACUGCGUACCUUUUGUAUAAUGGGUCAGCGACUUAUAUUCUGUAGCAAGGUUAACCGUAUAGGGGAGCCGAAGGGAAACCGAGUCUUAACUGGGCGUUAAGUUGCAGGGUAUAGACCCGAAACCCGGUGAUCUAGCCAUGGGCAGGUUGAAGGUUGGGUAACACUAACUGGAGGACCGAACCGACUAAUGUUGAAAAAUUAGCGGAUGACUUGUGGCUGGGGGUGAAAGGCCAAUCAAACCGGGAGAUAGCUGGUUCUCCCCGAAAGCUAUUUAGGUAGCGCCUCGUGAACUCAUCUUCGGGGGUAGAGCACUGUUUCGGCUAGGGGGUCAUCCCGACUUACCAACCCGAUGCAAACUGCGAAUACCGAAGAAUGUUAUCACGGGAGACACACGGCGGGUGCUAACGUCCGUCGUGAAGAGGGAAACAACCCAGACCGCCAGCUAAGGUCCCAAAGUCACAGUUAAGUGGGAAACGAUGUGGGAAGGCUCAGACAGCCAGGAUGUUGGCUUAGAAGCAGCCAUCAUUUAAAGAAAGCGUAAUAGCUCACUGGUCGAGUCGGCCUGCGCGGAAGAUGUAACGGGGCUAA